Molecule: ribosomal RNA, 524 nt
Filed under: uncultured bacterium
Lineage: Bacteria
Description: partial 16S ribosomal RNA
Rfam family: Bacterial small subunit ribosomal RNA
Source: RNAcentral
GACGAACGCUGGCGGCGUGCUUAACACAUGCAAGUCGAACGGACAGACAGAGAGCUUGCUCUCUUGAAGUUAGUGGCGAACGGGUGAGUAACGCGUAAUCAACCUGCCCUUCAGAGGGGGAUAACAACGGGAAACCGUUGCUAAUACCGCGUACGAUUCAUGAACGGCAUCGUUUAUGAAUGAAAGGUGGCCUCUAUGUAUAAGCUAUCGCUGAAGGAGGGGAUUGCGUCUGAUUAGCUAGUUGGAGGGGUAACGGCCCACCAAGGCAAUGAACAGUAGCAGGUCUGAGAGGAGGAACGGCCACAUUGGGACUGAGACACGGACCAAACUCCUGCGGGAGGCAGCAGUGGGGAAUCUUCCGCCAUGGACGAAAGUCUGACGGAGCAACGCCGCGUGAGUGAUGAAGGUCUUCGGAUUGUAAAGCUCUGUUAAUCGGGACGAAAGAGUUCUGCGUGAAUAAUGCAGAAAAGUGACGGUACCGGAAUAGAAAGCCACGGCUAACUACGUGCCAGCAGCCGCCGCCG